RNAcentral lists this ribosomal RNA (705 nucleotides) under Escherichia coli. RNAcentral's name for it is "partial 23S ribosomal RNA". It matches the Rfam family "Bacterial large subunit ribosomal RNA", at positions 2238 to 2925 of the family's 2925-position model. Lineage: Bacteria; Pseudomonadati; Pseudomonadota; Gammaproteobacteria; Enterobacterales; Enterobacteriaceae. The record is from RNAcentral.
AUCCGGGUUGCGGACAGUGUCUGGUGGGUAGUUUGACUGGGGCGGUCUCCUCCUAAAGAGUAACGGAGGAGCACGAAGGUUGGCUAAUCCUGGUCGGACAUCAGGAGGUUAGUGCAAUGGCAUAAGCCAGCUUGACUGCGAGCGUGACGGCGCGAGCAGGUGCGAAAGCAGGUCAUAGUGAUCCGGUGGUUCUGAAUGGAAGGGCCAUCGCUCAACGGAUAAAAGGUACUCCGGGGAUAACAGGCUGAUACCACCCAAGAGUUCAUAUCGACGGCGGUGUUUGGCACCUCGAUGUCGGCUCAUCACAUCCUGGGGCUGAAGUAGGUCCCAAGGGUAUGGCUGUUCGCCAUUUAAAGUGGUACGCGAGCUGGGUUUAGAACGUCGUGAGACAGUUCGGUCCCUAUCUGCCGUGGGCGCUGGAGAACUGAGGGGGGCUGCUCCUAGUACGAGAGGACCGGAGUGGACGCAUCACUGGUGUUCGGGUUGUCAUGCCAAUGGCACUGCCCGGUAGCUAAAUGCGGAAGAGAUAAGUGCUGAAAGCAUCUAAGCACGAAACUUGCCCCGAGAUGAGUUCUCCCUGACUCCUUGAGAGUCCUGAAGGAACGUUGAAGACGACGACGUUGAUAGGCCGGGUGUGUAAGCGCAGCGAUGCGUUGAGCUAACCGGUACUAAUGAACCGUGAGGCUUAACCUUACAACGCCGAAG